CGAAGUGCAGAGCUGGUGGGGAGCAGAACUCGGAAGGUGCCCUGAGGAAGGAAUCCAUCCCAGAAAACAGUCAGUAGCGGCCUGGGCUAUGAGCAAGUGUUCUCAGGGAAGUUAAGAUGUGAGCUCAGCGGGAUCGUGAGCAUGACACCAGCUGCCUUUAACUUCCACGCACUGGGCUAAACUCUUUGAACCCACGACCUCUCUUAAUACAACAGCCCAUUAAAGAGGACUUGUUGGAUAAUCUGAGGCUCAAGAGGUGAAAGAGCCAGUCCAAGAUCACACAAACGAAGUGGCAGAGCUGAGGCCACCGACCCCAGAGCUCAAGCUCUCACCACCACACCUGCUCUGCCUUGCAUGACGAUUGACAGAGAACUUCUCAAAGGUGGUGUGCCAGGGGCAGGUGAAAAUAGCGCAGGCUGUGAGUUCCAAAUCCCACAUCUACCACGGAUUAGGCAGAUUGACCUCCCAGAGAUUGGAGAAGGCAGGUUUAGCUCAACCUGAUUCUUACUCAAGAGUUACAUUCAGAGAUCAAACAAGAUGGACUUCACUGGAAAUUGGGACCUCCCAGAGGGUGGCUCACUGAACCCGGCGAGGGCCAUGAAAAUGUGGAAACACAUGUCUGGGGCUGCUGUUCCUGGUCCUUUUAUCAGUAUGGCCUGACUCCUCCAACUGGUUUUUAAAUGCCUUGAGGAGAGGCAGGAUGGCCCAGGCGAAAGGGCACUGGACAGAGUGUAGAGGCCAGAGCUGCCCAGCUGCCUGCGGAAGAAGCUGUGCUGACCAGGAGCAGAGGCCUGAACCUGUCCCUGAGCCUGGUGCUCGCAUGCAGGUCUACACUGAGACCAAGGCCACCCAGUCACUAACGCUCCGCGUUCAGCCAGCGGGACCUCGGAGCGGCUUCUCUAGGAAUCCCGUACUCUGUUUAGGUCCAGCCGGCGCCGCCGCCCCCAACCCCCACCCCGCUGCCCACCGGCUUCUGACCACUAUCUCCUUCUCCCCUUUCAUCCUCCAGGCCCACAGGACUCCCCACCCCAACUCUCCUGCCUCAGCAUCACCCAUCCUUUUUCUUCCUGCUGAUCCAGCGAGCCGGGCUUUCUCCUUCUCUGGUCUCUCCUCCUCUCCCCCUUGAAUCCA
RNAcentral lists this long non-coding RNA (1131 nucleotides) under Equus asinus (donkey). RNAcentral describes it as "lncRNA (ENSEASG00005032524.1)". The record is from RNAcentral. Lineage: Eukaryota; Metazoa; Chordata; Mammalia; Perissodactyla; Equidae.